CCAGCAGGGCAGCAACCCCCCUACAAGUCUGAGCGCCUCAGGCCCUGGAAACGGUGUUCCCAGCUGGCUGUCAUGGCAACAGCAGGCUUGGGAAAGUAUUCAUCAUGGUCUGGACAGAUUUCUCCAGCUUGCACUUGCUCUUUCUUCUCCCUAAGUGGCUAAUUGAGGGAGCUGUGCGCCUCCUUCGUGGAAGCUCUGGCUGCUUGCCCAAGCACUCAUCCUGGGAAGCAGGCCCGCAGCGGUCAGAUGGGAAAACUGAGGCUUGAUCAAACCACUUGACCACGUCAUGCAGCCAGAAAGCAGGAAAGCUGAGACCCUAGCUUGCGUCUGUCCGCCUACAGCUCCCACGGCCUCUGGGGGCAGCUCUGCCGUGCUCAGAGCGGGGCUUUGGGGUUCAGCACGCUCAAGGCCCAACGUGUCCCCGCCACUCUACGUUCUGCAGCACCUGCUUCUAGAGCAGCUGGAUUUCUCCUGGGUCCCGGGAUCCACUCUGGUGAUCAUCUUGCACCAUUGUUUUUGAAGCGUGUACACAAAAGCAGAGGGAUCACAUCUGUGACCCGGCCUCAACUGCUGGGUGUGACUCCCAAGGGCUCCCCUUGGAAGAGGACCCUCGAUGGAGCUCGCUGGGCCCCCCACUGCAGGGAGAUGGGGAGUCCCGAGGAGGCUGGGUGGCCCUCUGUGUUCCCAGAGUGCACUGGGAGUUGGCUGGGCCCCACUGGGAUUAUGGAAAGGAAGGGAAUUGGCAUUUAAAAGUGCCUGCUGUGUCACAGGAACUCUGGUGCGUGUGUGCAUUUAAUCUCCACGACAACUCUUUAUGGGGGGACAUUGGUAUCACCCCAUAUAUAGAGGGAGAAGCUGACCUAUGAAGAUCAGGUCAUUUGACCCCAGGGCAAGCAGGACUUCAACCCCCAUGUAACUGGCCCCAAAAUCUGUCUGCUUCAUGUUGCAUCCUGUGACCUCGAGGGCGCUAGCUGCUGCUCUAGCUCAUGCUCCUGGCGCCCAGGUCAGCCUCAAAGCAGGGAGUCCACAAGGCCGCUUCCUCCUCGGGGCUCCCUCACCCCCACGGGAGAUGAGCACCUUUUACCCUCUUUUUUAUCCCUCUUUUCCCAUUCUCCCGACCCUCCCGAACCCAACCACGGAGAAGACCAGGAGCCAGAGGCAAAGGACCAGAAGCCAGAGCGCAGCUCUCACCCCAGCGUCCUCCAGCCGCAGGCAGAGGAGCAGAAGGGGUCUGAGUGCAAAGGGGGAAUCACCAGGGAAGCCAGGGGACCCGAGUCCUGUCCUCAAGCCCACCUCGGCACAGGCGGCGCCCCCUCCAGACCUUCCUCCCUCAGCUCGGCUUCCCGGGGAAGCUCUCCUGUCUGCAGGCCCUGCUGGGACCCCAGAGGAAGGGGGGGAGUAAGCGCCCUCAGGAUGAGCUCUUGCCUGCAUGGGGCCUCCUCCUCGCUGCCAGCAGGACACCUAAGCUCGCUCUGCCUGGGAGCUUGGAAUCAAUCCGUAGGGGGUAGCUUGCAGCCCUGGGAGGAGCAAGGGAGUGGCCAGAGGCCUCCGCUCUGCUCUCAGCUCUGUCCCAACGGGCUGGACGAUCCUGAGCACCGCACCAGCCUUUCUGGGCUGACUUCCCGCUGGCAAGCACGGGCCCAAUUGGCCCCCUGGAAUAUUCUGCAUGGCUUGUGCAGCUGUGGGAAGUCUUCCGCAUGGCCCUCCCCAACCCCAAGCCCGUCCACCAGCGCCCUCGCAGGUCCUCACCCGCCCGCCGCCAGCCGGCGAGGAGCACGAGGCAGUCGGUGUGCUGCUGUUAGGAGGCCUUUUCAGGCAGCAAGUCGGACCGAUGGGGACAAACGCUGGGAUGCCCGGGCCCCCACGCGUGGCUCACGUAAGAACAGCCCACCUCUCUUCCCCGCUCUCUUUGCUCCUGCUCUUUAACAACCACUCGGUCAAGUAACACGUAUGAGGUGGCCGUGUCCGCAGCGCGCAGCGUCGAAAUGCCUCCCGAGCGGAGCGGCGAGGCCCUCGUCCAGGAGGAACCUGCGACUCCGAGGCUGCAACCCAGGCAGAAGCACGAAGGGAGCCUGCUGCCCGCGCAGCCGGACGACAGAGGAUUUCUCAACGCCCCUUACCGCCUCCUCUGCCCACGGUCACUGUUACCCACCCCCGGGAGCCGCGAUCUGCCUCGUGCUUCUGACCCAGGGGGGAAAUCGGGGUGCUCCAGGCGUCCGUCCCCUCUCCUGCCGGGCCCCACCUUCCUACCUGCGUGCGCUCACCUGGUUUCCACGAGUCGGCGCCGCGAAGGCGAGGUCCAGAGGCUGGGAUGCGGCCCUUGUGUGUUGGAGCCAACGAGGAGGCCCCACUCGGACUCGGGGGGAUGCCUGACGGAGGCGGCUCCUCCCUGUGGGGUCCCUUGGCUGCAGGUGUCCCUGCUCGCGGAGCUUUCCCUGAAUGCCCUCGCUAAGCCUCUUAGAGGGCAAGUGCUACUUGCUGCCUCACUCUCCUUUUGUCCCGGACGCCUCAACAUCUGCUCCAUGAAUAAUAGCUUCUCUAGGGCCCUUCAUAAUUUACAAGGUGCUUCACCCGUAUUUUCUCAUUUAAUCUUCUCAGCAACGCCGUGAGAUGGGAUUAUCGUUGCUCCUUCCUUCCAGAUAAGGACCUGAGGCUCAGAGAGACGUCGCGAGGGGCCCAGGACCCCACAGCUGGACCCAGGCGAUCCCACUCGGACAGGACUGAGCGCUUUCGGCCCGAGAUGCUUCCUCAUGGUCUUCUCCAUGACGUCAGGAGACCCCGCUUCCCGCCUGGAUCCCCAUCCUCCUGUGAGUCCCAGCAUCCAGUUCUCACUGGGUCUCCCGCGCUGCCUGAGAGCCCAGGGAUCAGACACAAGACACAGGACGCAGCGGCAGCGUGGGAACAGAUGGACGAGAGGCGAGGGCUCCGCUGGUGCCCACCCGGCCCCGCUGGUCUCACGGCCCGACCCAUGCUAUGUCCUCGGGGGACGGCUGGAAACACACGGCGGGCUUUGGAGGGCUUGUUAGUUUGGGUUUGGUGAUGUUUCUGGU
Long non-coding RNA from Canis lupus familiaris (dog), 3050 nucleotides. RefSeq lists it as uncharacterized. The record is from RefSeq and is a predicted model, not a curated record. NCBI's taxonomy places the organism in Eukaryota, Metazoa, Chordata, Mammalia, Carnivora, Canidae. The transcript is spliced from 3 exons.